GGCAACAUUCAUUGGUAUGGUUGGCCUUAUAGUAGCUUUAGUUGUUCUGCUUGUCCUUAUGAUCAUGUAUUUUAAGAUUGCAGUUCGGCAGACACUUAUUUCUGUUUGAAUGAAAGUUUUCCUCCUAAAGUUGAGUAUGCAUUGUGCAGAUUCUCCAUUGGGCACACCAAGGAUCCUCAUUUUAAAGUUGGCGAUGCUAUAGAUGGGGCUAUUAAAAUAUUCACUAUAUCAGUUACCAUUGUGAUUGUGGCCGUACCCAAAGGGCUUUCCUUAGCUGUCACUCUUACGUAAGUUCAUUCUAUUUUGACAUUAAUACUUUUAAGUUUGAGUAGUUCUUUGCAUAGCUGCUUCAUUUGAAGGGUCAGUUGUAUCUAUUUAUCACUUUCACUCCCUAGUUGUGUUUUCUGUAUUGUUUAUUUUAAUUUAUAAUGUAUAACAUGUUUCAAUAUGAUUUUUUUGCGUACUUCAAUUCUGUUUUUAUUCAUUAAGUACAUCACUGAGACUAUUCAUUCACCGUACUAGUUUGCUACAUUUAUGUUGUCUAUUUUUCUUGUUAAUCAGUAAUCACUGGGACUUGCUUUCUACACUA
Long non-coding RNA from Ipomoea triloba (trilobed morning glory), 589 nucleotides. RefSeq lists it as uncharacterized. NCBI's taxonomy places the organism in Eukaryota, Viridiplantae, Streptophyta, Magnoliopsida, Solanales, Convolvulaceae. The transcript has 2 exons. The record is from RefSeq and is a predicted model, not a curated record.